RNAcentral lists this ribosomal RNA (844 nucleotides) under metagenome. RNAcentral's name for it is "bacterial SSU rRNA". It matches the Rfam family "Bacterial small subunit ribosomal RNA", at positions 75 to 916 of the family's 1533-position model. The record is from RNAcentral.
AUAGCUUGCUAAUUAAGAUCUUAGUGGCGGACGGGUUAGUAACACGUGAGAACCUACCCUUUAGACAGGAAUAGUCCCGGGAAACUGGGUUUAAUGCCUGAUAGUCUCUAUGGAGUAAAUGGUGCCUUCGGGUAUCGCUAAAGGAUGGGCUCGCGGCCUAUCAGUUUGUUGGUGAGGUAAAGGCUCACCAAGACUACGACGGGUAGCUGGUCUGAGAGGACGAUCAGCAACACUGGAACUGAGACACGGUCCAGACACCUACGGGUGGCAGCAGUCGAGAAUCAUUCACAAUGGAGGCAACUCUGAUGGUGCAACGCCGCGUGGAGGAUGACGGUCCUAGGAUUGUAAACUCCUGUCAUUGGGGAGUAAGACUUAUGCGUUAAGAGCGUGUAAGUUUGAUAGUACCCAAAGAGGAAGGGACGGCUAACUUCGUGCCAGCAGCCGCGGUAAUACGAAGGUCCCAAGCGUUGUUCGGAAUCACUGGGCGUAAAGCGUGUGUAGGCUGCGCGGAAAGUCAAAUGUGAAAGCCCGGGGCUCAACCUCGGAACUGCAUUCGAUACUCCCGUGCUAGAGUAAUGGAGAGGUAAGUGGAAUUCCUGGUGUAGCAGUGAAAUGCGUGGAUAUCAGGAGGAACAUCAAUGGCGAAGGCAACUUACUGGACAUUUACUGACGCUCAGACACGAAGGCUAGGGUAGCGAAAGGGAUUAGAUACCCCUGUAGUCCUAGCAGUAAACGGUGCUCGCUUGGUGUGGGGGGAUUCGACCCCUUCUGUGCCGGAGCUAACGCGUUAAGCGAGCCGCCGGGGAAGUGAGGUCGCAAGAAUGAGAAGCAAAAAAAAUGAGAG